GAGAAAUUUGAAUAAAAGGAAAUUAGGUUAGAAUCCUAAGCGAUCCGGUCACUGUAAUCUAGGGAGCAAUACUUAAUAUAUCCAUUGCAUGCCAUUUGUAUGUGAGAAGGGAAGUAACGCGUUGAUCUGUAAGCCAGGAAGCCUGCUUAAUAUUAA
This 156-nucleotide non-coding RNA is filed under the name uncultured Intestinibacter sp. Lineage: Bacteria; Bacillati; Bacillota; Clostridia; Peptostreptococcales; Peptostreptococcaceae. The record is from RNAcentral.